GACAGAGGUGGCCAGCGUUGCUCGGAAUCACUGGGCUUAAAGGGUGCAUCGGCGGUUCGGUCAGUAUCCUGUGAAAGCCCCCGGCUCAACCGGGGAACUGCAGGAUAAACUGCCCGACUUGAGGUACGUAGAGGUUACUGGAACUCUGGGUGGAGCGGUGAAAUGCGUAGAUAUCCAGGGGAACACCUAUGGCGAAGGCAGGUAACUGGGCGUAUUCUGCCGCUGAGGCACGAAAGCGUGGGGAGCAAACGGG
This 253-nucleotide ribosomal RNA is filed under the name uncultured bacterium. RNAcentral's name for it is "partial 16S ribosomal RNA". It matches the Rfam family "Bacterial small subunit ribosomal RNA", at positions 524 to 776 of the family's 1533-position model. The record is from RNAcentral.